UGCAGUCGAACGCUGAAGCUCCCAGCUUGCUGGGGGUGGAUGAGUGGCGAACGGGUGAGUAACACGUGAGUAACCUGCCCCGAACUCUGGGAUAAGCGCUGGAAACGGCGUCUAAUACUGGAUAUGUCCUAUCACCGCAUGGUGUGUAGGUGGAAAGAAUUUUGGUUCGGGAUGGACUCGCGGCCUAUCAGCUAGAUGGUGAGGUAAUGGCUCACCAUGGCGACGACGGGUAGCCGGCCUGAGAGGGUGACCGGCCACACUGGGACUGAGACACGGCCCAGACUCCUACGGGAGGCAGCAGUGGGGAAUAUUGCACAAUGGGCGCAAGCCUGAUGCAGCAACGCCGCGUGAGGGAUGACGGCCUUCGGGUUGUAAACCUCUUUUAGUAGGGAAGAAGCGAAAGUGACGGUACCUGC
This 416-nucleotide ribosomal RNA is filed under the name Leucobacter sp. Its description in RNAcentral is "bacterial SSU rRNA". It matches the Rfam family "Bacterial small subunit ribosomal RNA", at positions 56 to 482 of the family's 1533-position model. Lineage: Bacteria; Bacillati; Actinomycetota; Actinomycetes; Micrococcales; Microbacteriaceae. The record is from RNAcentral.